AUGGCGCCUUCUACAUCCGACGGUGAGGCGAGCAGCAGCGGGACGGGCUCAAAAUCGAAGGAGAAGGAGCGGCCAAGGUCCUUUGACGAGAAGACCCGGACCGCGUGCUGGCGGAAGGCGGCGGUGCUGGCAGGGCGACACCCAGAGCGGUGGCGGCAGGACGCCGCUGGCAACGUGGUGUGUCGCCGCUUCUGGAGCUGCCACGGCUGCCUCUGCUACGAAUACGACCACAUCAUUCCCUUCUCCAAAGGAGGGGAAUCUACUGUUGAGAAUUGCCAGAUCCUUCAGACUAGGGCGAACCGUUCCAAGUCUGAUAAAGCAUGGGUGGAGAAGGCAGAGAUGCAAGGCUUUUCCUGCGAUAUCAAGUUCACAGACAAGGAGCUUGAUGUAAUCGAGAUGGCAGUCUAUGGGGAUGUCAUUCGUCCUGGCAAACAAUGUCGCUGCAAGACAGUAGCUGAGAUGCUUGGACAGGUGAAAUCAAAGAAUCAAAUGGCUGCUUGUGACUCACCAACAUAA
Molecule: ribosomal RNA, 516 nt
Filed under: Triticum aestivum (bread wheat)
Lineage: Eukaryota; Viridiplantae; Streptophyta; Magnoliopsida; Poales; Poaceae
Description: partial small subunit ribosomal RNA
Source: RNAcentral